Molecule: ribosomal RNA, 253 nt
Filed under: uncultured bacterium
Lineage: Bacteria
Description: partial 16S ribosomal RNA
Rfam family: Bacterial small subunit ribosomal RNA
Source: RNAcentral
UACGUAGGUGGCAAGCGUUGUCCGGAUUUACUGGGCGUAAAGAGCGCGCAGGCGGUCGUUCAAGUCGCGUGUGAAAGCCCCCGGCUCAACUGGGGAGGGUCACGCGAUACUGAUCGACUCGAAGGCAGGAGAGGGUAGUGGAAUUCCCGGUGUAGUGGUGAAAUGCGUAGAUAUCUGGAGGAACACCGGUGGCGAAGGCGGCGUUCUGGACUGCAACUGACACUGAUGAACGAAAGCCAGGGGAGCAAACGGG